Molecule: ribosomal RNA, 672 nt
Filed under: Triticum aestivum (bread wheat)
Lineage: Eukaryota; Viridiplantae; Streptophyta; Magnoliopsida; Poales; Poaceae
Description: partial small subunit ribosomal RNA
Source: RNAcentral
AUGGACAGCCACGGUGAUAUGUGCUACUACACCGCCGGCUGCAUGGGCGCCGCGGCCGACCCCUCCUCCUCCCUCUCGUCCUGGGACUCAUUUCCACCCGACUUGAGUUCGUCCUGGGACUCAUUUCCAUCCGACUUGAGUUCGUCCUGGGACUCAUUUCCAUCCGACUUGAGUAGCGGCGAGAUGAUCGACACGGAAACAAGGAGUCAGCGCAAGAAGCCGGCAGCCCCGGUGUUCAUCGGCGUGCGCGCGCGGCCGUGGGGACGGUUUGCGGCGGAGAUCCGGGACUCGACGCGAGGCGGCGCGCGGGUGUGGUUAGGCACGUUCGCCACGGCCGAGGCCGCCGCCAUGGCAUACGACCAGGCGGCGCUCUCCUCGCGGGGCGCGGCCACGGCGCUCAACUUCCCCCUCGAGCACGUCCAGGAGUCACUCCAGGCACUAGGCGCGACCGCAACAGGCAUGGGCGGAUCGCCCGUUCUGGCGCUCAAACGGCGCCACUCCAAGAGAAAGAGGCGCAGCAAGGCCGAGAUGGCCAACGAUGCCGCGGUAGGCACGAGGAAGAAGAACAAGACGAUGGCCACGUGCACGCAGGAGCGGUUCAUCGUGGAGCUGGAGGACCUCGGCGUCGACUACCUGGAUGAGCUUCUCAGGAUCACGUGUAAUACAGCUUAG